Long non-coding RNA from Pieris napi, 734 nucleotides. RefSeq lists it as uncharacterized. The record is from RefSeq and is a predicted model, not a curated record. NCBI's taxonomy places the organism in Eukaryota, Metazoa, Arthropoda, Insecta, Lepidoptera, Pieridae. The transcript is spliced from 3 exons.
AUCAAUAGCUAGUUACAUAUAUCUCGGGAAUAAAUUUGCUUUGAUAAACAUUAUACAGUGUUCUUGUCAUUUGUUUGGUCUCGUGUUUUGUUUUAAGUGUCAAUUAUCCUCAUAUUAAUAUGAAGUUGGUCGCGUUCAUCUGUACGCUGUUGGUGGUAGCCUGUCAAGCUAACAAUGGAGCGACGCCAACUACAGUAAACAAUUACGUAGAAACCCGCAACAACAAUUACAAUAUAAAUUACAACAAUUACAACUUAAAUAACAACAUGUACAACCCGUACGCGUAUUACAACAACAUGCAACAACAAUACCAAAACGCUAUGUUUGGUCCUUAUUAUAGAGCGUACAGACCAAAUCUUGUUGAGGGCAUACUUCAUACUGUUUCUGACACUGUGUGGAACAUUGGAAGCCUCAUUGGACAACGACGUUACUAAAAUAUAUUAUAUAAAUAAUGACAGUAGCAUAUUAAAUUACCUACCUUCGUAAAAGGUUAGGCUGUUAAUUGAACGGCUAAUUAAGCUAGUUGGCUGCGACAUAAUGAUUCGAUUCGGGGAAACAGUUUUCGAUGGCAGACCAAAAACAUUUUUUGCUUUUUGUUAAUUUAAUUAUGUACAAUGUUAAUAGAAGUAACUUUUCUUUUGCAUAUACUGUAAUAAAUAAGAAUGAAUAAAUAUCUAGUAAAAUUUAAUUUUGUAUAAAAUAUAAUAAUAUUAAGAAUUAUACUUGAGUGAUUA